UCUGCGCAGGCGCGAGGGCCACCGCUCGCUCUGGAUUGGACAGCCAAGCCAGUUCCGUCGUUUCUCGCGGGACAUAGGCGGCCGGAUAUGGAUGGCGUGCACAGGAAGCCAGCAUCCUGAGUCAGGUAAUAAUGUGCUGUGAAAACCUAGUAAAUGGAGUUGGAAGUUGGAGACUGGAACAGAAGAAGAAGGACGAUUAAGAUGCACCUAAAAGGGAAUGCUUGAAGUUAAAACUCAAAGAUAAAAGUGACCAAAUGAAUCCUUUGAGGUAGAGUUUUAUGAGCAGAAAGGAAAACAAGUGUAACCUCCCCCACAAAGGUGAAAAUAAGUGUUCAAGAAUCCAAGAAGGAUCCCUGAAAAGUGAAAAAACAGAAGAUAUUCACAGUGCCUAAGAGCUGAGAGAACAGUCAGGCAAUUGCCUACCACACAAGCAUGAGGAUCUGAAUUCUGUCUCCAGAACUCAUGUAAGGGGAAGAGGUGGCCCAGUUUAUAAUCCCAGCACCGAGAAAGGGGAAGCAGAUAAUUGUAGUCUCACAUCAGGGAAACAUCUCUUUGCAACUGGUGGAGACAAUUAGAGAAAACCACAACCAAUCAAAAUGCAGAAUAAUGAGGCCCAGUCUCAAUGGAUACAUCUACAAUACAACUCCAUCACCUAAAACUCAGGAAACAUUGUGGAAGAGUGGGUGGAAAGAUUGCAGAGCUAACAUGAAAGGGAGAAAUCCCAGGAGGCCUCAGCCCUACAGAAAGAACUACAGGUAGCUAAAUAAGACUGAAAUCUGAAGAAACUGCUUUCCCCUGGAAAGAGCACACUAAAUUGGUUAUUCAAUACUAAAAAUGGUCACCCCUGAAAACAUACAAAUGACGUUAUACAAACUGGGCAGGUUGUACUUACGUAUUUAAGUGUGUGUGUGUGUGUAUUUAUAUACAUAUGUAACAACAAUGAAAAAAGGCAAUGAAUUUGAAAAAGAGCAAGAAGAAGUAUAGGGGAGGGUUUGGAAGCAGGAAAGGGAAGGAUUUUAUCUAAUUUUUGUUUUAUCUGAAAUUAUCUAAUCACAUUACUCUCCAAAGUAAAAAAAAAAAAUAAAAAAAUAAAAGUUUUUAAAAAGAAGGCCUCCUGAGGGUCUGGAGGACCAAGGUUCUGUUUUAAGCAUCUACAUGGUAAAUCACAACCUUCUAUAACUCCAGUUGUAAGAGAUCUGAUGCACUCUUCUGGCCUCCGAAGGCACCAGGCACACAAGUGAUGCACAGCCAUAUGUGCAGGCAAAAAUACAUAAAAUUAAAAAAAAUUAAGGCCUUCUAUUAUGCCACAUUGCAUAAUCCCAAGAAGUGUCUACAACAAAAUAAAGCAUAACCACACAAAAUGAGUUCAGUGCAAAAAUAUGGCCGGUAUGUGAUUAUCACAUUACUGGAAAGUAACAGAGAUAGAUAAGGUAGACAGGUAGCCUCAAACUACACUGUAAGUCAGUCUUUCCAGCUUGGGAACAGGUUGCUCAUUUCUCUUAUAAAGAAAAAACAGUCUAGUAUUGACUUAGUCAUGUGGUUGUUAGUAGUCACUCUUAUGCAGAUCUAUAAUGAAAAAGAGCAAUCUAGACAAAGAAAAGUGAAAAUGUGCAGUUCGAGGAGAAAAGGAGCACCAGGAAGUGUUUUGUUAGAGCCAAGUCCUGUGAUCAAAAAGACAAAAAGUUUAAAGAAAAGCCUGAUUCUAGCUGGGCGGUGGUGGUGCAUACCUUUAAUUCCAGCACUCGGGAGGCAGAGGCAGGCCAGCAGAUUUCUGUGAGUUCAAGGCCAGCCUGGUCAGCAGAGCGAGUUCCAGGACAGGCUCCAAAUGCUACACAGAGAAACUUUGUCUCAAAAAACAAAAACAAACAAGAAAAGAAAAGAAAAAAGCUUGAUUCUAAAUGGAAUAAAGGGAGUUUUGGCCUCAGGGGAAAGCCCCACCGGACCAAGCUUCCAACUCCUGAAAGUAAUUAAAGAAAAGCUUAAGCAGUAAAGGAAACCAUUAAAAAGAGAAAGCUCUUGCAAAUGCAGUUGAAGGAGGAGGCCAAGUUCCAGCCCUAUCAAUCAGUGGAACUUGGCAGCUUCAGGGAGAGACUGGAAUAGUGGGAGCAUUUAGGUGGUUCUGGCUUUAUAGUCAAGGAUACAAGAGAGGGAUUGUGGAGUUUCCCUUUGUAGCUAAGGGAAGCUGGCCAGGCCAGGUCAGGGGUGUCUCAGCAUGGAGGCCAAGAGAGGAUAUGUAUAAAAACUGUGAGGGUGAAUCCUGGAUUAUGUUGUAGACCCCAAGAUAUGUGAUGCCAGAAUCAUGGGAUACCUGUCAAGGAAAGUUGCAGACUGGGUAUGGAACCAGCACAGGAGAGAAAAAUAUGUUGCAGUCAACAAAGCUGAAAGGAUUUGGAGAUCUGAAGCACCCUUUGACAUCAGACAUGGAGAUGCAGAAUUUGGAGUUUGCCUUACUGAGUUUUAGCCUUGCUUUGGUCUAGUAUUUCCUCACUAUGCUUCUUUCCUUCAUUUUUGAAUAGUAAUGUAUAUUCUGUGCCACUGUAUGUUAGAAGUAUACAAUCUGCUUUUUUUUGGUUUUGAU
Molecule: long non-coding RNA, 2578 nt
Organism: Peromyscus californicus insignis
Lineage: Eukaryota; Metazoa; Chordata; Mammalia; Rodentia; Cricetidae
Exons: 3
Source: RefSeq, a predicted model, not a curated record